AUUGAACGCUGGCGGCAGGCCUAACACAUGCAAGUCGAACGCGUGGGGCACGGGUGUGUAAUGUCUGGGAAACUGUCUUAUGGAGGGGGAUAACUACUGGAAACGGUAGCUAAUACCGCAUAACAUCAGAUGUGCCCAGAUGGGAGUAGCUAGUAGGUGGGGUAAAGGCUCACAUAGGCGACGAUCCCUAGCUGGUCUGAGAGGAUGACCAGCCACACUGGAACGGAGACACGGUCCAGACUCCUACGGGAGGCAGCAGUGGGGAAUAUUGCACAAUGGGCGAAAGCCUGAUGCAGCCAUGCCGCGUGUAUGAAGAAGGCCUUCGGGUUGUAAAGUACUUUCAGCGGGGAGGCGUUACCCGCAGAAGAAGCACCGGCUAACUCCGUGCCAGCAGCCGCGGUAAUAC
RNAcentral lists this ribosomal RNA (406 nucleotides) under uncultured bacterium. Its description in RNAcentral is "partial 16S ribosomal RNA". It matches the Rfam family "Bacterial small subunit ribosomal RNA", at positions 30 to 526 of the family's 1533-position model. The record is from RNAcentral.